Molecule: unclassified non-coding RNA, 288 nt
Filed under: Clitopilus sp.
Lineage: Eukaryota; Fungi; Basidiomycota; Agaricomycetes; Agaricales; Entolomataceae
Description: partial contains 5.8S ribosomal RNA, internal transcribed spacer 2, and large subunit ribosomal RNA
Source: RNAcentral
CGCACCUUGCGCUCCUUGGUAUUCCGAGGAGCAUGCCUGUUUGAGUGUCAUUAAAUUCUCAACCAUUCAAGUUUUUACUAGCUUGUAUGGCUUGGAUCAUGGGGUUUGCGGGCUUUCACAAGUCGGCUAUCCUUAAAUGCAUUAGCAGAGCUUUUGCUGCUAACUAUUAGUGUGAUAAUUAUCAACGCUAUUAGUAAGUUGCAUGAAUAGAGCUUCGCUUCUAAUCGUCUUCACAGACAAUUUUGACAAUCUGACCUCAAAUCAGGUAGGACUACCCGCUGAACUUAA